UUCACUUUGGCUCUUUCUAUUUCUAUUUGAAUUACAAACUGUACGAUUGAUGUUUCUUGCCUCUCAUUCUGUAUUUGCAGAUCGCGGAGAUGCUUUGAAGAAUCAAAACUGAUUCUAUUUGUGAUUGGUUUGUGUUGUUGCUUCUUCCUUCUCUCUCUAGGUGAUGCAUUCUUACACAAGAACGGUCAAAUCCUAUUAUGGAGAUUGGGUUGGGCUUUGUUUCCGGAGUCAGGAGAGGAGACGACGACGACGAAUCUAUGAUAUUAAUCCCUAAUUGUUACUCUUCUGGAGAGUACUGUGGUUUUAACAAGAAGAGCAAAGAGUACAGGGUUUCCCCGCAGUUCCUGGAGCUAAACAAGAGGAGGGGGGUAAAGGGCGCUUUUCACUGUCUCCAUAUCAAUGAGAAUGUUAAAGGAUGAUGUUGAGGAUGGUGAAGAAGAGUCAUCUUCUUUUGGGGUUUUAACUAGAAGAGCCAAGGAUCGGUAUUCGUGAAAAGGUUUUUGCCCUUAGUUCAAGGAGCUACAAGAGAAGGGGGGUUAAGGAUGCUUUUCACCGUCUCAUUGUCAUGUUGAACUAGGAUCAUCUCCCUUGACGAGGCUGCAUAAUUACUGCUUGGUGAUGCCCACAAUACAUCAAUAAUGCCAACAAAAGAAAGGCGGCUUUAUGAUGUUACGAAUGCCUUGUCAUCUAUGAAUGAAUCUCGUCGAGAAGACUCAAGACUUAGAUUCACACGAUCUCAGAUCGGAGAUGGUUUGAAGAAUGAAGAAGAUUGAGAUUGCUCAAGGUUUUCUUUCAGCACAAUCCAUUUGUGGAGAUUGAUAUUUUGGUUUUGUUUGUUGCUGCUUCUCUAGAUGGAGGGGAUAUAUAUGGUUUGCAUUAUUACAAAUGAUGAUGCAUUUUGAUCAUCAUCACUUAUUCCGUGUUUGCUUCAAUGGGUGUUGAUCCUUUUCACUGCUUGUAAAUAAGUGUGUUAAAAAUUACUAAGCUGUUAUCA
Capsella rubella is the source of this 994-nucleotide long non-coding RNA. RefSeq lists it as uncharacterized. The record is from RefSeq and is a predicted model, not a curated record. NCBI's taxonomy places the organism in Eukaryota, Viridiplantae, Streptophyta, Magnoliopsida, Brassicales, Brassicaceae. The transcript has 10 exons.